Molecule: ribosomal RNA, 292 nt
Filed under: uncultured bacterium
Lineage: Bacteria
Description: partial 16S ribosomal RNA
Rfam family: Bacterial small subunit ribosomal RNA
Source: RNAcentral
GUUUCAGCAGCCGCGGUAAUACGUAGGGGGCGAGCGUUGUUCGGAUUUACUGGGCGUAAAGAGCGCGUAGGCGGUUCGAUCAGUCGGAGGUGAAAUCCCUCGGCUCAACCGAGGACCCGCGUCCGAUACUGUCGAACUUGAGUGCAGGAGAGGAGAGCGGAAUUCCCAGUGUAGCGGUGAAAUGCGUAGAUAUUGGGAGGAACACCGGUGGCGAAGGCGGCUCUCUGGACUGCUACUGACGCUGAGGCGCGAAAGCUAGGGGAGCAAACGGGAUUAGAUACCCGGGUAGUCC